Molecule: long non-coding RNA, 1041 nt
Filed under: Mytilus galloprovincialis (Mediterranean mussel)
Lineage: Eukaryota; Metazoa; Mollusca; Bivalvia; Mytilida; Mytilidae
Source: RNAcentral
CGUGGAUGGUCUUCAUUGGGAUUGUCAUGGUACUUUUUUUUAUUAUAAUUUUUUUUUUUCAUUAGUGCAUCACUUAAAUACAUAUAAUUUACUGUAUAAUCCGGACUUGCCAUUUAUUGAAUUAUAAAUUCCAAUUUCUUAAAAUGAAAUAUAUUGCAUUUAAUUUAUUUUGGAAUUGACAUGUAUAUAACAUUCUCUGUGAAAAAUUACAGUGUGUAUAGCAGAUGGUUCAAUUAGUUUAAGUGAAAGAUUUAAACUGAUUUAGUCUUUAAAACUCUCUGAUUCAAACUUAACUAUGAAAAAUCUAUCAAAUAUGUCACUUUUCACAUGUUCUUUGUCAAAAAUGAAAGUGGCCUCUGUGUUAAUCAUCAACCUUUAUAUAUGUUAUUUAUCAUCAAAAUUUAUACAACUUACAUUUCAGUAUUAAGAAUGAACACAAAUGUGGCCACUUUUAUUUCACACGGAAACCAUCUAAAAUUUAACUAAAAUGCUUAAAUUGUGGAUAUUUCAGUAAUUUAGCAUGACUUUAUGAUGCUAAUACCCGAUUUAUAUGCCUUGUAUUGUCAAAUCAGCCCAUAUUUAUGUCACAGUAGCAUUCUAUUUUCCCUAAAGUAAAUGAAAGUUUACAUUUUUAUAAUUUUGUAAAACUGCUAUAUUUUUGGGUGCAUAAGGGGUCUUACUGGACCUAUUGCUUUAAAGUUUUUGGAUUCCAUUCAUUGCCACAGUAAAUACUGAAUUGAGUCAUUAACAAUUAUAUUUAUUACCAUGUGUUUCUGUUAUUAAAUGGAUACCACUAUCUUAUAUAUUCAUUACUUAUUUCUGAUAUUAUUUAUUUUUACAGGUUGUGCAGUGUCCUACAAAGGCCUUCUAUACCCAGAAAUUCAAAACAUUAAUACACAACUGGUGGAACAGAACAAUGCCAAAUUAAAGAAGUUGAAGCCUUCACUUUCGUACAUGAAAGCAGAAAAUUUCAUGAAAUCCGUAACCUUUUUUGAAUGGCAUUGCAACCAACAAUUGAAAGAUUAAAUGACAAAUGUUACU